CUCGUAGGUGGCCAACUAAGUCAUACGUGAAAUCCCUCGGCUUAACCGGGGAACUGCGUCUGAUACUGGAUGGCUUGAGGUUGGGGAGAGGGAUGCGGAAUUCCAGGUGUAGCGGUGAAAUGCGUAGAUAUCUGGAGGAACACCGGUGGCGAAGGCGGCAUCCUGGACCAAUUCUGACACUGAGGAGCGAAAGCCAGGGGAGCAAACG
Molecule: ribosomal RNA, 208 nt
Filed under: uncultured bacterium
Lineage: Bacteria
Description: partial 16S ribosomal RNA
Rfam family: Bacterial small subunit ribosomal RNA
Source: RNAcentral